UGAAGUCUCAUCCGAUAACCUUGCUAACAUCUUGAUCAAUUUUAUCUUGAAAUUACAAAAGCAUAGAUCACUGUGGACUUUCAAAGGUUUUAAUUUGGCCGAGUUUCAAAAGAAUGGUCAUUUCUAAGGAUAUUGAAACACAAAUGGCCAAAGUUAAUGAAGAGCGUCACAAAAACUCAUAUUUUACACACUUUAAUUUUCUUACUUACUUUCCACCCCUCAAGAUCUUUUGAUGCAACAAUUUCAUCAUUCAUUUUCUUUCUUUUUUUCUUCCAUUUCUUUUUUUUUCUUUUUUUAUUUCAUCUUUC
This 308-nucleotide long non-coding RNA is filed under the name Lathyrus oleraceus (garden pea). Its description in RNAcentral is "Pisum sativum (pea) long non-coding RNA (PSAT_LNC026273)". Lineage: Eukaryota; Viridiplantae; Streptophyta; Magnoliopsida; Fabales; Fabaceae. The record is from RNAcentral.